RNAcentral lists this ribosomal RNA (437 nucleotides) under Clostridium perfringens. Its description in RNAcentral is "bacterial SSU rRNA". It matches the Rfam family "Bacterial small subunit ribosomal RNA", at positions 24 to 459 of the family's 1533-position model. Lineage: Bacteria; Bacillati; Bacillota; Clostridia; Eubacteriales; Clostridiaceae. The record is from RNAcentral.
UCAGGAUAACGCUGGCGGCGUGCUUAACACAUGCAAGUCGAGCGAUGAAGUUUCCUUCGGGAAACGGAUUAGCGGCGGACGGGUGAGUAACACGUGGGUAACCUGCCUCAUAGAGUGGAAUAGCCUCCCGAAAGGGAGAUUAAUACCGCAUAAUGUUGAGAGAUGGCAUCAUCUUUUAACCAAAGGAGCAAUCCGCUAUGAGAUGGACCCGCGGCGCAUUAGCUAGUUGGUGGGGUAACGGCCCACCAAGGCGACGAUGCGUAGCCGACCUGAGAGGGUGAUCGGCCACAUUGGGACUGAGACACGGCCCAGACUCCUACGGGAGGCAGCAGUGGGGAAUAUUGCACAAUGGGGGAAACCCUGAUGCAGCAACGCCGCGUGAGUGAUGAAGGUUUUCGGAUCGUAAAGCUCUGUCUUUGGGGAAGAUAAUGACGUAC